RNAcentral lists this ribosomal RNA (119 nucleotides) under Pteropus alecto (black flying fox). The record is from RNAcentral. Lineage: Eukaryota; Metazoa; Chordata; Mammalia; Chiroptera; Pteropodidae.
GUCCACGGCCACGCCACCCUAAACGUGCCUGAUCCAGUCUGAUCCCGGAAGCUCAGCAGGGUCGGGCCUGGUGAGUACUUGGAUGGGAGACCACCUAGGAAGAGCAGGUGUCAUAGGCA